This 245-nucleotide ribosomal RNA is filed under the name uncultured bacterium. RNAcentral describes it as "partial 16S ribosomal RNA". It matches the Rfam family "Bacterial small subunit ribosomal RNA", at positions 524 to 769 of the family's 1533-position model. The record is from RNAcentral.
UACGUAGGUGGCGAGCGUUGUCCGGAAUUAUUGGGCGUAAAGAGCGUGUAGGUGGGAUCAUAAGUCUCAUGUAAAAGUGCGGGGCUCAACUCCGUAAAGCGUGAGAAACUGUGGUUCUUGAGUGCCGGAGAGGAAAGCGGAAUUCCCAGUGUAGCGGUGAAAUGCGUAGAUAUUGGGAGGAACACCAGUGGCGAAGGCGGCUUUCUGGACGGUGUCUGACACUGAGGCGCGAAAGCCAGGGGAGC